GCGACUGGUUGCAGUCCGGCAUGGGCACGAGCUGCGCCAGGUUGCUGAGGAACUAGUUUACUAUAAACAUGUAAUAAUAACAGUAACUCGACUGACCGUGGCGACUGGUUGCAGUCCGGCAUGGGCACGAGCUGCGCCAGGUUGCUGAGGAACUAGUUUACUAUAAACAUGUAAUGAUAACAGUAACUCGACUGACCGUGGCGACUGGUUGCAGUCUGGCAUGGGCACGAGCUGCGCCAGGUUGCUGAGGAACUAGUUUACUAUAAACAUGUAAUGAUAACAGUAACUCGACUGACCGUGGCGACUGGUUGCAGUCCGGCAUGGGCACGAGCUGCGCCAGGUUGCU
Molecule: long non-coding RNA, 346 nt
Organism: Spodoptera frugiperda (fall armyworm)
Lineage: Eukaryota; Metazoa; Arthropoda; Insecta; Lepidoptera; Noctuidae
Exons: 3
Source: RefSeq, a predicted model, not a curated record